Long non-coding RNA from Gymnodraco acuticeps, 3094 nucleotides. RefSeq lists it as uncharacterized. The record is from RefSeq and is a predicted model, not a curated record. The transcript is spliced from 2 exons. Lineage: Eukaryota; Metazoa; Chordata; Actinopteri; Perciformes; Bathydraconidae.
GCAUUUCAUCAACUGCUCAGAAUUCACGUUGAAGAACACACAGCUUGAUAAAAAAUAGCUUCAAAGCUUUUUUGUGGAGGGAAAUACACUGAAGGGGAGCUCUAUUUUUAGGCAUGUGGCACAUAGUGAUGCACUGCUAGGUUUCAUUUUGAUUGAGAACACUCAAUACACUUGAAUGAUAUGUGCAUGUGGCCGCCGCAGGAGCUGCACUGCAUUCGGAUGUAAUGGAUUACAGUCGUAUGAAAUACUGAAUUGUAUUCUGCUCAAUUAGACUUUGAUAACAACCUAUUGAACACUUUCACCCCCUUGAAAACAAUCUAAAUCUUUAAAAUUCUAAUCUUGUGUCUUUCUUCUACUUGGUCAGAUAUCUCUAGUUUUAAAUUAUUUUGUUAUACAUGCUUAAACAUAUAUCUAUGGAUGUAAUGACAAACGUUAAAGGAAAAGCUCAAUACCUAUAAGCUUUAGAUGAGUUAGAUGAAUAGAUUGAAACCACUUCCAUUGCUUAGAAAGAUUAUGAGGCUCUCCCUCCACACAGACACAAAGCAUGAGAAAAGAAAAGAAAGAAAAAUGAAAAAACCUUAUUCUCAGGAGAAAUCUUUGAUUGGUUUUUGAAUUCCUGUACUGCUGGUGUUGUUUGGCCUCAUAUCAUUGAAGCAUGUCCUAUACUGGGACCUGCUUUCGACCAUGAAACCAAAUGUUUUAGGUAUUACAAACAUGAUUUAACCUAAAGUCCAUUAUGGUGUCCUGUACUUGAUGUUUAAUGACUUCACCUUCCUGCUGAAAUAAGCUUAUGUUAGUGAUAUCGCUCUGAUACAAUUGUCAAUUUAUGAAAUUGCAGAGUUCAUUGCAGCGGAGGAAAAACUGUGAUUUGAGUGGUCAUAUUCCACCAAGCUGGCAAUGGCAUCCAAUCAUUUACUCUCCUGCUCAUUAUGGUCUGGCAACAUCAAAUGGAUGUCGUUUCAAGUAUGCUGUACAAAGAGGACCUCCUUUACACACACUUAUAUUAACCUCACUGCACUGUUAGUGGCCAUUGCUGCUGAUUUCCAAUCUGAGAAAACAUGGCAGCUUUCCUGGAAGUGUUGUCAAAUCUAUAACCAAUUAUUAACCACUAAGAAUAUGUUUAAGAUGGAAAAUGCACCAUUUUAUAUCUACAACGCCUUAUUUAGACUUACUUCACGUGGUGGGCUUAAUCUUUAAAUUGUGUCUCUUAACUUUGUGAAGAUAAAGCAGAUGUCUUGAUGAAGGAAACAGGAUUGUUCUCACCAGGAGGAGCUCGAUGGCCCCCAGGAUGUACAUGGCUCCGGCGAAAGUUGUCCCCAGAUAGAAACAGAUCCCCACCGCACCCCCAAACUCCGGGCCCAAGGACCGGGAUAUCAUGUAGUAGGCGCCUCCGGCUGCACACAAACACAACAAUGUUAACAGACAUACUGACCUCACACCUCCUUCACUGUAUCCUUUGUUGAUUCAAAUCAGUAAAGAGGAAUCGACUGCUACCAAGCAUCUGUGUUCUAACACCCAAAGGUGAACAUUGAUACGAUUGAACCAAGACCUACUGUAUAAAGUCCUAAGUGAAUGCCGAGUCAAUAUGUGUGUGAUAAUAUGUUGAUGUCUUUUUAUUAUUCUAUGUAUGAUUUGUAUCUUCAGUGAAAGGAGUCCAGGACACAUUUCCUUACAGGGACAAAUUAUAUCGUACUGUAUCGUGUUUAAGAAAAACAUUUACAUAUAGUAAUUUGAGGCCCAUGAUAUCAGCGUCAGGCCCGUGGUAUGUAACAUACAUAUAUCAUGUGAAGGAGUUUACGUGAGGUCAACGCUGAUUUACUGCCAUGCCUUGUACUAAAGCUGACUGGCUGUUGAUUAGAUACAUAAGAAUGCCACAGGGCCUGUCACCAGCUGUCAAAGCACAUUGAGACAGCCAAUGACGACUCUAAUGCAUAUCCUGUGCUGGGAGCGGGGGGGAGAAACACCGGAACAAAUGUGAGGGCAUGCUAGGAUGGAGAGCAUUGGCUGCCUGCAACACAAACAGAGGAGGAGAGAGAGGCAGGCGGCAAAUGGACCAGGAAGAUACAAAGUCAGAAAUAGAGAGAGAGAGAUAGUGUGUGUGACAGUACAAAGAAAGAAUUAAGAUUUCAUCAUUUUUUCAAAUGCUAUUGUUCAAUUUCUGAGUGUCUUUUCACAUUGUCUGCACAUGAAAGAGAGCGAGGGAGAUGAGAUGUGAGAGCGGGCUGGAAAAAACACAGAGCCAUCUCCUGAAGAACUUCUCACUGCUUUCAUUAUAUUGUCUUCCCAUUUUAAUUGUGUUGUCGCUUACUCUUGAAUGUAUUGUUUGAGUCAUAGUUUUAAAACAAGACCUGCUAUAGUCUGCAGUUUUAUUUUUGCUUUAACUUAUUCAGCAUCAACCCAGUUUAUGAAAUCUUUGACAUUUGCUAAAUCUGCUGUCAGUGUGAGGUGGGUCUUCUCGAUGUUCAUUUGUUUGGAACUCAUAUGUUACAUCUAUAACAGUGGAACAGAAGACAAACAGGCUAAUUCAAAUGUCAACCAUCAUAUCCAUCUAUUUUUAUCUACAGAAAGUUUGGCAAUUCAAAUCUUAGUGACAAUAUCUCACAUUAUGACAACACAAUGGGGGCGGGGGGUGGGGGGGUUACCAAACUACUCAUGAUAAUGACUUAGAGCCUGAAAGAUACAUCUAAUAAUUAAAGAUAAUCACUGACUGGUAUAUUGUUAUCGGCGUAUAAGUCAGCUGAUAAUUGCAGUGCGGAAAUAAAUUAGAAUUUAAUUGUUUAAUGAAAUAGAAGAUCCCUCCAAACAUAAAAAAACAUGUUUGGAGGGGGAGCCUCCUUUUGAAUAAAGCCUAUAGCCUCCGAACAUCCUCCUAGGGUCCUAUAUUUUAUGAUAUUUCAUAUUUUUGUAUUUUUAUUGUAUUUUAUACCAAUUAAUGUUACUCUAUUUGUAUUUUACAUUUUUAUCUUGUAAUGUUACGAUAUUCUAUAUUGAUUUGUAUAUUGUCAUUCAUGUUUGUUGAUCUGUAGCCUACGGAGACAAAUGUGUUUAGUGACAUUGGGCUAUAUUAUAUAAAUACGAUUUGAUGUAAAAAUAA